GACGAACGCUGGCGGCGUGCUUAACACAUGCAAGUCGAACGAAAAGAGGGAAAGAGCUUGCUCUUUCCGGAAUUGAGUGGCAAACGGGUGAGUAACACGUAAACAACCUGCCUUCAGGAUGGGGACAACAGACGGAAACGACUGCUAAUACCGAAUAAGUUCCAAGGGCCGCAUGGCCCAUGGAAGAAAAGGUGGCCUCUACCUGUCAGCUAUCGCCUGAAGAGGGGUUUGCGGCUGAUUAGCUGGUUGGAGGGGUAACGGCCCACCAAGGCGACGAUCAGUAGCCGGUCUGAGAGGAUGAACGGCCACACUGGAAUUGAGACACGGUCCAGACUCCUACGGGAGGCAGCAGUGGGGAAUCUUCCGCAAUGGGCGAAAGCCUGACGGAGCAACGCCGCGUGAGUGAUGACGGCCUUCGUGUUGUAAAACUCUGUGAUCCGGGACGAAAAGGCAGAGUGCGAAGAACAAACUGCAUUGACGGUACCGGAAAAGCAAGCCACGGCUAACUACGUG
Molecule: ribosomal RNA, 513 nt
Filed under: uncultured bacterium
Lineage: Bacteria
Description: partial 16S ribosomal RNA
Rfam family: Bacterial small subunit ribosomal RNA
Source: RNAcentral